GAGUUUAGCGUGAGUUAUAUGACAUUGUGAUCUUUAUGAGUUAAUUAGAGAUGCUUAUUACGUGUAGGCGGAGAUUAGACUGUUCGAGGGGUAUCUAGUUUUCUUUGCUUACUUACGAGGUGAGUCUUCUCACUAUACUUACCAUGAGUGGUAUCUAUGUGUGACCAGAGGGUAUUUUGUGCUUAAUUGAGUCAUGUCAUAUUAUGCAUUUUGUCUGUGUGAUAUAUAUACAAUAUUUUGUGUUUUAUUGAGAUAGGAUCGAAGGGUCCAAACCGAGUUGUGGGACCAGAGGGUUUCCACUGAGACAUGACCGGAGGGUCCAAACUGAGCUGUGGGACCGGAGGGUCCUCACGGAGACACAUGACCGGAAGGUCCACACCGAGACGCGUGAGACCGGAGGGUUCAUGCCGAGUUAUAGCCAUGAGAGGCUUAUUAUUUGUGUAUGUGGUAUUUUGGGGAACUCACUAAGCUUUGUGCUUAUCGUGUUGUGUGAUAUGUGUUUCAGGUACUUCUCAGGAUCACGGGAAGGCGCCAGCAUGAUUGUACACACCUGCUUGAGACUUUGUUGAGGAUUCUGGGAUUUGACUUUUAUUUGUGGAUUUAUGUUGACAUUUGAGACACUUGUGGUUUUAUGAAAUAUAAUAUAUGAGUUUUAUGUGUUUUAAAAAUGAAAAUUUUGGUUUGAAAAUUUAUGGUGUUACAAGUUGGUAUCGGAUCCUUGGUUUGAGGGAUUCAGAUGCACCUUCGGGUAUGUCUGAACUAAAACUGUGGAUUUGAGAAAAGUUUC
This 787-nucleotide long non-coding RNA is filed under the name Lactuca sativa (garden lettuce). RNAcentral describes it as "long non-coding RNA (LSAT_LNC003647)". Lineage: Eukaryota; Viridiplantae; Streptophyta; Magnoliopsida; Asterales; Asteraceae. The record is from RNAcentral.